This 443-nucleotide ribosomal RNA is filed under the name uncultured bacterium. Its description in RNAcentral is "partial 16S ribosomal RNA". It matches the Rfam family "Bacterial small subunit ribosomal RNA", at positions 338 to 795 of the family's 1533-position model. The record is from RNAcentral.
CCUACGGGAGGCAGCAGUGGGGAAUAUUGGGCAAUGGAGGCAACUCUGACCCAGCAACGCCGCGUGAAUGAUGAAGGUCUUCGGAUUGUAAAGUUCUGUGAUGGGGGAUGAACACAAUGACGGUACCCCAAUAGCAAGCCACGGCUAACUACGUGCCAGCAGCCGCGGUAAUACGUAGGUGGCAAGCGUUAUCCGGAAUGACUGGGCGUAAAGGGUGCGUAGGUGGUUUAGUAAGUUGGCGGUGUAAUUCCGGGGCUCAACCUCGGCGCUACCGCCAAAACUAUUAGACUAGAGUGCAGGAGGGGUAAGUGGAAUUCCUAGUGUAGCGGUGGAAUGCGUAGAUAUUAGGAGGAACUCCGAUCGCGAAGGCAAGUGUCCGGGGUGCAACUGACGCUGAGGCUCGAAAGUGCGGGUAUCAAACAGGAUUAGAUACCCCGGUAGUC